UUACUUUGGCAGAAUAGUGCUUUAAAUUUAGAAUUUAAAUAUGUGUACUUGUACACAAGUAAUAC
Molecule: transfer RNA, 65 nt
Filed under: Anomala bilobata
Lineage: Eukaryota; Metazoa; Arthropoda; Insecta; Coleoptera; Scarabaeidae
Description: tRNA-Leu
Source: RNAcentral